GAUGAACGCUGGCGGCGUGCCUAAUACAUGCAAGUCGAGCGAACAGACGAGGAGCUUGCUCCUCUGACGUUAGCGGCGGACGGGUGAGUCACACGUGGAUAACCUACCUAUAAGACUGGGAUAACUUCGGGAAACCGGAGCUAAUACCGGAUAAUAUAUUGAACCGCAUGGUUCAAUAGUGAAAGACGGUUUUGCUGUCACUUAUAGAUGGAUCCGCGCCGCAUUAGCUAGUUGGUAAGGUAACGGCUUACCAAGGCAACGAUGCGUAGCCGACCUGAGAGGGUGACCAGCCACACUGGAACUGAGACACGGUCCAGACUCCUACGGGAGGCAGCAGUAGGGAAUUUUCCGCAAUGGGCGAAAGCCUGACGGAGCAACGCCGCGUGAGUGAUGAAGGUCUUCGGAUCGUAAAACUCUGUUAUUAGGGAAGAACAAAUGUGUAAGUAACUAUGCGCGUCUUGACGGUACCUAAUCAGAAAGCCACGGCUAACUACGUG
This 497-nucleotide ribosomal RNA is filed under the name uncultured bacterium. Its description in RNAcentral is "partial 16S ribosomal RNA". It matches the Rfam family "Bacterial small subunit ribosomal RNA", at positions 28 to 507 of the family's 1533-position model. The record is from RNAcentral.